RNAcentral lists this ribosomal RNA (707 nucleotides) under uncultured archaeon. Its description in RNAcentral is "bacterial SSU rRNA". It matches the Rfam family "Archaeal small subunit ribosomal RNA", at positions 15 to 697 of the family's 1478-position model. The record is from RNAcentral.
RRNAGGACCCUACUGCUAUUGGGGUGGGACUAAGACAUGCGAGUCGUGCGCCUCUAAGCUAUGGUAGAGACGCGGCGUACGGCUCAGUAACACGUGGCUAACCUACCCUUAGGACGGGGACACCCUCGGGAAACUGGGGUUAAUACCUGAUGGGUGAGGAGACUUGGAAUGGUUCUUCACCGAAAAGACGUUGAGACCAUGCUUCUCAACGUUGCCUAAGGAUGGGACCGCGUCCGAUCAGGUUGUUGGUGGGGUAACGGCUCACCAAGCCUAUAACCGGUACGGGCCGUGGGAGCGGGAGCCCGGAGAUGGGCACUGAGACAAGGGCCCAGGCCCUACGGGGCGCAGCAGUCGCGAAAACUCCGCAAUGCGCGAAAGCGUGACGGGGCUACCCCGAGUGCCGUCCGCUGAGGAUGGCUUUUCCCCGGUGUAAUGAGCCGGGGGAAUAAGGAGAGGGCAAGCCUGGUGUCAGCCGCCGCGGUAAUAGCAGCUCUCCGAGUGGUAGGGACGAUUAUUGGGCUUAAAGCGUCCGUWGCCGGCCCGGCAAGUCUCCCGUUAAAUCCAGCGACCCAAUCGUUGGGCUGCGGAAGAUACUGUUGGGCUAGGGGGCGGGAGAGGCCGACGGUAUUCCCGGGGUAGGGGUGAAAUCCUAUAAUCCCGGGAGGACCACCAGUGGCGAAGGCUGUCGGCUAGAACGCGCUCGACGG